Molecule: ribosomal RNA, 441 nt
Filed under: uncultured bacterium
Lineage: Bacteria
Description: SSU rRNA
Rfam family: Bacterial small subunit ribosomal RNA
Source: RNAcentral
AGAGCGAACGCUGGCGGCAGGCCUAACACAUGCAAGUCGAACGCACCUUCGGGUGAGUGGCGGACGGGUGAGUAACACGUGGGAACGUACCUUUGGUUCGGAAUAACGCAGGGAAACUUGCGCUAAUACCGAAUGUGCUCCGUAAGGAGGAAAGAUUUAUCGCCAUUAGAGCGGCCCGCGUUAGAUUAGCUAGUUGGUGAGGUAAAGGCUCACCAAGGCUACGAUCUAUAGCUGGUCUGAGAGGAUGAUCAGCCACAUUGGGACUGAGACACGGCCCAAACUCCUACGGGAGGCAGCAGUGGGAAUCUGCGCAAUGGGCGAAAGCCUGACGCAGCCAUGCCGCGUGAAUGAUGAAGGUCUUAGGAUUGUAAAAUUCUUUCAGUAGGACGAUAAUGACGGUACCUACAGAAGAAGCCCGGCUAACUUCGUGCCAGCAGCCGC